Molecule: ribosomal RNA, 253 nt
Filed under: uncultured bacterium
Lineage: Bacteria
Description: partial 16S ribosomal RNA
Rfam family: Bacterial small subunit ribosomal RNA
Source: RNAcentral
UACGUAGGGACCAAGCGUUGUUCGGAAUUACUGGGCGUAAAGGGCUCGUAGGCGGCCAACUAAGUCGGACGUGAAAUCCCCAGGCUCAACCUGGGAACUGCGUCUGAUACUGGAUGGCUUGAAUCCGGGAGAGGGAUGCAGAAUUCCAGGUGUAGCGGUGAAAUGCGUAGAUAUCUGGAGGAAUACCGGUGGCGAAGGCGGCAUCCUGGACCGGCAUUGACGCUGAGGAGCGAAAGCUAGGGGAGCAAACGGG